UACGAAGGGGGCUAGCGUUGCUCGGAAUUACUGGGCGUAAAGCGCACGUAGGCGGAUUGUUAAGUCGGGGGUGAAAUCCUGGAGCUCAACUCCAGAACUGCCUUCGAUACUGGCGAUCUCGAGUUCGGGAGAGGUGAGUGGAACUGCGAGUGUAGAGGUGAAAUUCGUAGAUAUUCGCAAGAACACCAGUGGCGAAGGCGGCUCACUGGCCGUA
Molecule: ribosomal RNA, 214 nt
Filed under: uncultured bacterium
Lineage: Bacteria
Description: partial 16S ribosomal RNA
Rfam family: Bacterial small subunit ribosomal RNA
Source: RNAcentral